This 253-nucleotide ribosomal RNA is filed under the name uncultured bacterium. RNAcentral describes it as "partial 16S ribosomal RNA". It matches the Rfam family "Bacterial small subunit ribosomal RNA", at positions 524 to 776 of the family's 1533-position model. The record is from RNAcentral.
UACGGGGGGGGCAAGCGUUGUUCGGAAUUACUGGGCGUAAAGGGCUUGUAGGUGGCCAACUAAGUCAGACGUGAAAUCCCUCGGCUUAACCGGGGAACUGCGUCUGAUACUGGAUGGCUUGAGUGUGGGAGAGGGAUGCGGAAUUCCAGGUGUAGCGGUGAAAUGCGCAGAUAUCAGGAGGAACACCAAUUGCGAAGGCAGCUCGCUGGGACGUUACUGACGCUGAGACGCGAAAGCGUGGGGAGCAAACAGG